RNAcentral lists this unclassified non-coding RNA (336 nucleotides) under soil metagenome. RNAcentral's name for it is "partial contains 5.8S ribosomal RNA, internal transcribed spacer 2, and large subunit ribosomal RNA". The stretch from base 1 to 120 matches the Rfam family "5.8S ribosomal RNA", at positions 35 to 154 of the family's 154-position model. The record is from RNAcentral.
GAUGAAGAACGUAGCGAAAUGCGAUAAGUAGUGUGAAUUGCAGAAUUCAGUGAAUCAUCGAAUCUUUGAACGCACAUUGCGCCCCUUGGUGUUCCAUGGGGCAUGCCUGUUCGAGCGUCAUUUGUACCUUCAAGCUUUGCUUGGUGUUGGGUGUUUGUCUCGCCUUUGCGUGUAGACUCGCCUUAAAAUAAUUGGCAGCCGGCGUAUUGAUUUCGGAGCGCAGUACAUCUCGCGCUUUGCACUCAUAACGACAGCGUCCAAAAGUACAUUUUACACUCUUGACCUCGGAUCAGGUAGGGAUACCCGCUGAACUUAAGCAUAUCAAUAAGCGGAGGA